AGUGAACGCUGGCGGUAUGCCUAACACAUGCAAGUCGAGCGGCAGCACGAUAAGAUCUUUCCCUUACGGGUGGCGGCUGGCGGACGGGUAACGAGUGGAUCAGAUACUUCUAUGUCUGGGGUAAUUUCGUGGGAAAGCUUACGCUAAUACCGCAUAUGACCUACCGCUUAGAUCAGUAGUUCUUCGCGGCUUUGCUGACUGUUUUAGCCGAAUCCGCGUCGGAUUAGCUAGUGGGUAAGGUAACGGCACACCAAGGCGACGAUGCGUAGCUGAGCUGAGAGGAUGAUCAGCCACACUGGAACUGAGACACGGUCCAGACUCCUACGGGAGGCAGCAGUGGGGAAUCUUGGGCAAUGGGCGAAAGCCUGAUGCAGCCACACCGCGUGGGUGAAGAAGGCCUUCGGGUUGUAAAGCCCUGUUGUUGGGAAAGAACAGCAGCAGAUUAAUACACCGCUGUUCUGACGGUACCCAAAGAAAAAGCAACGGCUAACUUCGUG
This 497-nucleotide ribosomal RNA is filed under the name uncultured bacterium. RNAcentral describes it as "partial 16S ribosomal RNA". It matches the Rfam family "Bacterial small subunit ribosomal RNA", at positions 29 to 507 of the family's 1533-position model. The record is from RNAcentral.